Molecule: ribosomal RNA, 301 nt
Filed under: uncultured bacterium
Lineage: Bacteria
Description: partial 16S ribosomal RNA
Rfam family: Bacterial small subunit ribosomal RNA
Source: RNAcentral
CAGUCGCCACGGUAAUACGGAGGGUGCAAGCGUUAAUCGGAAUUACUGGGCGUAAAGCGUGCGUAGGCGGUUUGUUAAGUCUGUUGUGAAAUCCCCGGGCUCAACCUGGGAAUGGCAAUGGAUACUGGCAAGCUAGAGUGUGUCAGAGGAUGGUGGAAUUCCCGGUGUAGCGGUGAAAUGCGUAGAGAUCGGGAGGAACAUCAGCGGCGAAGGCGGCCAUCUGGGACAACACUGACGCUGAGGCACGAAAGCGUGGGGAGCAAACAGGAUUAGAUACCCCAGUAGUCCCUGUCUCUUAUAC